This 64-nucleotide microRNA precursor is filed under the name Solanum tuberosum (potato). Its description in RNAcentral is "miR399l stem-loop (stu-MIR399l, stu-MIR399m)". Its record names the gene stu-MIR399l. The record is from miRBase by way of RNAcentral. Lineage: Eukaryota; Viridiplantae; Streptophyta; Magnoliopsida; Solanales; Solanaceae.
GGGCUACUCUCUAUUGGCAUGCAUUUGUAUAUUUCAGCUGACACGCCAAAGGAGAGCUGCCCUG